Long non-coding RNA from Ostrea edulis (European flat oyster), 755 nucleotides. RefSeq lists it as uncharacterized. The record is from RefSeq and is a predicted model, not a curated record. NCBI's taxonomy places the organism in Eukaryota, Metazoa, Mollusca, Bivalvia, Ostreida, Ostreidae. The transcript has 3 exons.
ACUUCAAAUUCAGAUGUAAACGUUAUAUUUGUUCGGAAUAGUAAUAAUUUUUUUCUCUGCCAAAGAAAGAAAACAAAAAAGAAGUUCGCCUAUAUAUAGCCUGUAUACUUUUAUUCUUCCGUGAUCCGGAUCGCGGGCCUCGCGGAGUUUUCUGAAAGUGUGCACGGAGAACACACGUGUUUCCGUUUCAACGAAAACAACACAGCUUCACCGUGAUUGUCACAGCGAACGCUUGUAUUUUACAUCUUUAAAACGACCUGAUGUCAGAAGAAGAUGCCCUGGAUCUCCUGUUGCAGGAUGACCCAAACGAUCAUGCAUUCAGUAUAAAUACGUACAUGGUAUUGACAUCCCAAUAUUUAGUGGGAAGUUCCCAGGUAUCAUCCGCUAGCGACAGUCUACUGGCAAAUCCAGACAUGCAUUGGAAGGAUGCUGAUGUGGAGGACACAGGGACACCUGAUCCAAGAACUGUGGCAUUUCAUUCGGGGUGACAACCUGGCUUUCAGUUGAUAUGGGACCCUAUUACGGUAUUCGGAGAACUGCAGAUUUUAUGAAGCUGUCUUUGACAGAAGAUUUGGUUUUCUCCAUUUGUGUUGCCACCAACCAUUAUGCUGAGAUGGUCAUAUCUAGGGGGAAGGGUUGCCAUAUACUUCCCUAGGAAGUUUACAGCCUCUCACUGAAGAGGAACUGUACAGGUAUUACUAGUUUUAAAAACCGAUAUUGUGGCAGUGAUUUCCAGUUUAAAAAGAAUAAUAAAA